Molecule: ribosomal RNA, 377 nt
Filed under: uncultured eukaryote
Lineage: Eukaryota
Description: partial 18S ribosomal RNA
Rfam family: Eukaryotic small subunit ribosomal RNA
Source: RNAcentral
CAAUAGCGUAUAUUUAAGUUGUUGCAGUUAAAAAGCUCGUAGUUGGAUUUCGGGUGGGACGCAGCGGUCUCGCAUUGCGUUUGUACUGCUGCAGCCCCCCUUCUUGCCGGGGGCGGCCUCUCGGACUUCACUGUCUGGGGGUCAGAAUCGGCGAUGUUACUUUGAGUAAAUUAGAGUGUUCAAAGCAAGCUUACGCUCUGAAUAUAAUAGCAUGGGAUAACACGACAGGACUCUGGCCUAUCGUGUUGGUCUAUAGGACCAGAGUAAUGAUUAAGAGGGACAGUCGGGGGCAUUCGUAUUCCGUUGUCAGAGGUGAAAUUCUUGGAUUUACGGAAGACGAACAUCUGCGAAAGCAUUUGCCAAGGAUGUUUNCAUUG